GCGCGGCGAUAAACCUUACACACAUUGUCUAGUUUUUUUGAACUUUGCUUUGGGUGGUGAGCCUGGCUUACUGCCCAAAGGUCUAAACACAUUUUUUUUAAUGUUAAAACCUUUAACCAAUAGUCAUGAAAAUUUUUAACAAAAAUUAAAAUCUUCAAAACUUUCAACAACGGAUCUCUUGGUUCUCGCAACGAUGAAGAACGCAGCGAAAUGCGAUACGUAUUGUGAAUUGCAGAUUUUCGUGAAUCAUCGAAUCUUUGAACGCACAUUGCACCCUCUGGUAUUCCAGAGGGUAUGCCUGUUUGAGCGUCAUUUCUCUCUCAAACCUUCGGGUUUGGUAUUGAGUGAUACUCUGUCAAGGGUUAACUUGAAAUAUUGACUUAGCAAGAGUGUACUAAUAAGCAGUCUUUCUGAAAUAAUGUAUUAGGUUCUUCCAACUCGUUAUAUCAGCUAGGCAGGUUUAGAAGUAUUUUAGGCUCGGCUUAACAACAAUAAACUAAAAGUUUGACCUCAAAUCAGGUAGGACUAC
This 529-nucleotide ribosomal RNA is filed under the name Wickerhamomyces sp. W8Y13. RNAcentral's name for it is "eukaryotic LSU rRNA". The stretch from base 159 to 312 matches the Rfam family "5.8S ribosomal RNA". The record is from RNAcentral. Lineage: Eukaryota; Fungi; Ascomycota; Saccharomycetes; Phaffomycetales; Wickerhamomycetaceae.